GCUGUAUAUGUAUGUCAGAUUGGUCCCUUCUAAUGCACGAGUUGUUCUUGUUUUAGUCCCAUAUACUAAGAGAACAUAAGGGUGAAAUUAGGAGAAGGCUAUCAUGGACAGUAGGAGUGCAUCGAGCUGUGGAUUAUGGAGUUCAUAGGCUGUGGGAGUACAAUAACGUUGGGAAACGAUAUGAAGACAUUCCAGUUUUGGGGCAAAGGCCAACAGAUGAAUGAACUAUAUAUGGACUCUUCCUUAUAACCAUCAUGUAGUUUCCGUAAGGAAAGUUGAAGUAUGCAAUUAUGCAUUAGGUAGCAGCUCUUUUUUCAUUAAUAAAAUUUUUGAUGGAUUGAACUGAUUAUAUCAAGCAUGUUUCAAUGUUUGAUGCUCUAUUCAAUUGUUUUUGGAGUGUUGAAUCAGUCUUCUAUGGCCAGAUUGACUCUUAAUAUUUUUUUUAUUGUUUGUUUCUGAAGUUUCAUCUUUUGGCCUUGAUUUCCAUUGACUGAAGUAUAUGGUCUAGAUAGUAACGGAAUGUUUGAUGAAGUUGACUGAGAAAAAAAUGUCAAU
Molecule: long non-coding RNA, 555 nt
Organism: Rosa chinensis
Lineage: Eukaryota; Viridiplantae; Streptophyta; Magnoliopsida; Rosales; Rosaceae
Exons: 3
Source: RefSeq, a predicted model, not a curated record